This 537-nucleotide ribosomal RNA is filed under the name uncultured bacterium. RNAcentral's name for it is "bacterial SSU rRNA". It matches the Rfam family "Bacterial small subunit ribosomal RNA", at positions 362 to 917 of the family's 1533-position model. The record is from RNAcentral.
UCUUGCACAAUGGGGGAAACCCUGNUGCAGCGACGCCGCGUGAGCGAUGAAGCCCUUCGGGGUGUAAAGCUCUUUCGGCAGGGAAGAUAGUGACGGUACCUGCAGAAGCAGCUGCGGCUAACUACGUGCCAGCAGCCGCGGUAAUACGUAGGCAGCAAGCGUUGUUCGGAGUUACUGGGCGUAAAGGGUGUGUAGGCGGUUGUUUAAGUUUGGUGUGAAAUCUCCCGGCUCAACUGGGAGGGUGCGCCGAAUACUGAAUGACUAGAGUGCGGGAGAGGAAAGUGGAAUUCCUGGUGUAGCGGUAAAAUGCGUAGAUAUCAGGAGGAACACCGGUGGUGUAGACGGCUUUCUGGACCGUAACUGACGCUGAGACACGAAAGCGUGGGUAGCAAACAGGAUUAGAUACCCUGGUAGUCCACGCCCUAAACGAUGCAUAUUUGGUGUGGGCAGUUCAUUCUGUCCGUGCCGGAGCUAACGCGUUAAAUAUGCCGCCUGGGGAGUACAGUCGCAAGGCUGAAACUCAAAGGAAUUGACGGA